Molecule: ribosomal RNA, 840 nt
Filed under: uncultured bacterium
Lineage: Bacteria
Description: bacterial SSU rRNA
Rfam family: Bacterial small subunit ribosomal RNA
Source: RNAcentral
AGAGUUUGAUCCUGGCUCAGGACGAACGCUGGCGGCAUGCCUAAUACAUGCAAGUCGAACGCUGAAGCACUCUGCUUGCAGAGUGCGGAUGAGUGGCGAACGGGUGAGUAACACGUGGGAAAUCUGCCUAGGAGUGGGGGAUAACAUUCGGAAACGGAUGCUAAUACCGCAUAUCUUUUUGAACCGCAUGGUUCUUAAACGAAAGACGGCUUCGGCUGUCGCUCUUAGAUGAUCCCGCGGCGUAUUAGUUAGUUGGUGGGGUAAAGGCCUACCAAGACCAUGAUACGUAGCCGGCCUGAGAGGGUGACCGGCCACACUGGGACUGAGACACGGCCCAGACUCCUACGGGAGGCAGCAGUAGGGAAUCAUCGGCAAUGGGGGAAACCCUGACCGUGCAAUGCCGCGUGAGUGAUGAAGGCCUUCGGGUUGUAAAACUCUGUUGUGAAGGAAGAAUAGCCUAGAUAGAAUCUAGGUCUGACGGUACUUCACCAGAAAGCCAUGGCUAACUACGUGCCAGCAGCCGCGGUAAUACGUAGAUGGCAAGCGUUAUCCGGAUUUAUUGGGCGUAAAGGGUGCUCAGCUGGUUUAUUAAGUUUGUAGUUAAAAUUCGAAGCUCAACUUCGAAGUGCUGCGAAAACUGGUAAACUUGAGUACAGGAGAGGGGUAGUGGAAUUCCAUGUGAAGCGGUAAAAUGCGUAGAUAUAUGGGAGACCACCAGUGGCGAAGGCGGCUACCUGGCCUGUAACUGACGGUCAAGCAACGAAGGCGUGGGGAGCAAAUAUGGAUUAGAUACCCCUAAUAGUCCACGUCGGAAAACGAAUGAUUCCUAAGGGGGUGGGG